This 1063-nucleotide ribosomal RNA is filed under the name Clostridioides difficile. RNAcentral's name for it is "partial 23S ribosomal RNA". It matches the Rfam family "Bacterial large subunit ribosomal RNA", at positions 419 to 1491 of the family's 2925-position model. Lineage: Bacteria; Bacillati; Bacillota; Clostridia; Peptostreptococcales; Peptostreptococcaceae. The record is from RNAcentral.
GGGACACGUGAAACCCUGUGGGAAGCAGGAGGGACCACCCUCCAAGGCUAAAUACUACCUAGUGACCGAUAGCGUAUAGUACCGUGAGGGAAAGGUGAAAAGAACCCCGGGAGGGGAGUGAAAUAGAACCUGAAACCCUGCACUUACAAGCUGUGGAAGCACAUUUCUUGUGUGACCGCGUACUUUUUGUAGAACGGGCCAACGAGUUACGUUAAGUAGCAAGGUUAAGCACUUAAGGUGCGGAGCCGUAGCGAAAGCGAGUUUUAACUGAGCGUUCAGUUACUUGACGUAGACCCGAAACCGGGCGACCUACCCAUGAGCAGGAUGAAGCGAAAGUAAAAUUUCGUGGAGGUCCGAACCCACGAGCGUUGAAAAGCUCGGGGAUGACUUGUGGGUAGCGGUGAAAUUCCAAUCGAGCCCGGAGAUAGCUGGUUCUCCCCGAAAUAGCUUUAGGGCUAGCCUCAAGGUGAGAGAUACGGAGGUAGAGCACUGAAUGUCCUAGGGGGUAUUGCACCUACCGAAGACUAUCAAACUCCGAAUGCCGUCAUCUUAUACUUGGGAGUCAGACUGUGGGUGAUAAGAUUCAUAGUCGAAAGGGCAACAGCCCAGAUCGUCAGCUAAGGUCCCUAAAUGUAAGUUAAGUGGUAAAGGAUGUGGGAUUGCACAGACAACCAGGAUGUUGGCUUAGAAGCAGCCACUCAUUCAAAGAGUGCGUAAUAGCUCACUGGUCGAGUGAUCCUGCGCCGAAGAUUUCCGGGGCUAAAACUUACUACCGAAGCUACGGCAUCAGUAAUGAUGGGUAGGGGAGCUUCCCAUACGGGUUGAAGCAUGACCGUAAGGACAUGUGGACAGUAUGGGAGUGAGAAUGUUGGCAUGAGUAGCGAGAUGUGGGUGAGAAUCCCACAGGCCGUAAACCCAAGGUUUCCAGGGGAAGGUUCGUCCGCCCUGGGUUAGUCGGGACCUAAGCUGAGGCCGAAAGGCGUAGGUGAUGGACAACAGGUUGAUAUUCCUGUACUACCGAUAACCGUUUGAGAGAAGGGAUGACACAGUAGGAUAAGCUAAG